Molecule: ribosomal RNA, 645 nt
Filed under: uncultured bacterium
Lineage: Bacteria
Description: bacterial SSU rRNA
Rfam family: Bacterial small subunit ribosomal RNA (bases 1-544)
Source: RNAcentral
CCUACGGGAGGCAGCAGUAAGGAAUAUUGGUCAAUGGACGAAAGUCUGAACCAGCCAUGCCGCGUGAAGGAUGACGGCCCUCUGGGUUGUAAACUUCUUUUAUAGGGGACGAAAAAGGGUAUUCUUACUCACUUGACGGUACCCUAGGAAUAAGCACCGGCUAACUCCGUGCCAGCAGCCGCGGUAAUACGGAGGGUGCAAGCGUUAUCCGGAUUCACUGGGUUUAAAGGGUGCGUAGGUGGGUCUAUAAGUCAGUGGUGAAAUCUCCGAGCUUAACUCGGAAACUGCCAUUGAUACUAUAGGCCUUGAAUUAUCUGGAGGUAAGCGGAAUAUGUCAUGUAGCGGUGAAAUGCUUAGAUAUGACAUAGAACACCAAUUGCGAAGGCAGCUUACUACGGAUAUAUUGACACUGAGGCACGAAAGCGUGGGGAUCAAACAGGAUUUAGGAUACCCUGGUAGUCCCACGACCUAACCUACUAGAUACUACGACACUACAGCGAUACACUGUUGGUUGUCGUGAGCGAAGACGAUUAAGUAUACCACCGUACGGAAGGUACGGACCGAACCGUAAGGUUAGUUAAACGUUAAAGGUAAAGUUAGUUACGGUCGUUGAGACGUGCCGACGGACGACGACGAGGGAGGAGG